CCUACGGGAGGCAGCAGUGAGGAAUAUUGGUCAAUGGGCGUAAGCCUGAACCAGCCAAGUCGCGUGAGGGAUGAAGGUUCUAUGGAUCGUAAACCUCUUUUAUAAGGGAAUAAAGUGCGGGACGUGUCCCGUUUUGUAUGUACCUUAUGAAUCAGGAUCGGCUAACUCCGUUCCAGCAGCCGCGGUAAUACGGAGGAUCCGAGCGUUAUCCGGAUUUAUUGGGUUUAAAGGGUGCUUAGGCGGCCUUUUAAGUCAGAGGUGAAAGUCCGUGGCUCAACCAUAGAAUUGACGUUGAAACUGGGAGGCUUGAGUAUGUUUGAGGGAGGCGGAAUGCGUGGUGUAGCGGUGAAAUGCUUAGAUAUCACGAAGAACACCGAUGGCGAAGGCAGCCUGCCAAGCCAUGACUGACGCUGAUGUACGAAAGCGUGGGGAGCAAACAGGAUUAGAUACCCGAGUAGUC
Molecule: ribosomal RNA, 460 nt
Filed under: uncultured bacterium
Lineage: Bacteria
Description: partial 16S ribosomal RNA
Rfam family: Bacterial small subunit ribosomal RNA
Source: RNAcentral